CAAGCACAUGCACCUGCCAAGCACAUGCACCUGCCAAGCACAUGCACCUGCCAAGCACAUGCACCCGCCAAGCACAUGCACCUGCCAAGCACAUGCAAAUGCACCUAUGUAGAUUGAAUGUACUCAGUUAAGAUACCCUUUGAUAAGAGAGUAAAAACAAUUAUGAUAGUCCCCUUUUUUCUCUGCUGUCCAAUGGCCCCAUGGCUCCCUCUGCUGUCGCUCCCAGCGGGGGCAGACAAGAGAGGUACCUAGAGCCACGGGGCCAACAGGAAGGGUUGUCCAGACCUCGGGAUGGACAAGAGGGAUAGCCAGAUCCUUGAGACCAACGAGCAGCGGUUCCGACAGCAGCCUGGAGGGGUGACAGGCCCGAUAGCAGGGCCUACCGGAGCCGUGGGCCAACAGCAGGGGCAGACAAGAGAGGUACCUAGAGCCACGGGGCCAACAGGAAGGGUGGUCCAGGCCUCGGGAUGGACAAGAGGGAUAGCCAGAUCCUUGAGACCAACGAGCAGCGGUUCCGAACGGUAGCCUGGAGGGGUGACAGGCCCGAUAGGAGGGCCUACCGGAGCCGUGGGCCAACAGGUAAAAGUUUUAACUGGAUCUUUAGUGGAUUUCUAGGCAGCUAUUUUCUAACGAUGCAAGCUAUCUUUGCAUUGAAGGUACAUAUGUAACUUCACCCUUGCAUCUUAAGAGGGUAAAUGUACCUUUAUAAAGUAAAUUCACUUGAAGAGAGUAAAUGUACUUUUGUAAAGUAAAUCACCUCUUUAAAGUAAAUGCACCUUGAGAGAGUAAAAGCACAUGCACCUGUCAGUGUCAAGCACAUGCACCUGCCAAGCACAUGCACCUGCCAAGCACAUGCACCUGCCAAGCACGUGCACCUGCCAAGCACGUGCACCUGCCAAGCACAUGCACCUGCCAAGCACAUGCACCUGCCAAGCACAUGCACCUGCAAAGCACAAGCACCCGCCAAGCACAUGCACCUGCAAAGCACAUGCACCUGCCAAGCACAUGCACGUUUGUCCAGCAUACGCACCUUUGUCCAGCACAUGCACCUCUGUCGAGCACAUGCACCUUCGUUAAGCACAUGCACCUUCGUUAAGUAUGCUUCGUAAGAUAGUAAAUGCACCUGUGUAAAUUGAAUGGCCCUAAAAAAGUAAAAAAGCUAAAGAGAGCAAAUGCACCUAUGCAGAUUGAAUGUACUCUGUUACUAAUGUUAGGAUACCAUUUAAUAAGAGAGUAAAAACAAUUAUAAUAGUCCCCUUUUUUCUCUGCUGUCCAAUGGCCCCAUGGCUCCCUCUGCUGUCGCUCCCAGCAGGGGCAGACAGGAGAGGUACCUAGAGCCACGGGGCCAACAGGAAGGGUUGUCCAGGCCUCGGGAUGGACAAGAGGGAUAGCCAGAUCCUUGAGACCAACGGGAGGGGCCAACGAGCAGCGGGACCGACAGGAGGGCCUAUCGGAGCCAAAUGGAUCCAUGGGGUGACAGCUUGGGCCAGGACAAACAGUAUAGGUGGAAACUGUACUAUGUGUUACAGAUAAAUGCCAGUGCUGCUAGCAGACAAGGUACAUGUAUGUACAAGCCAUAGUGUUAAACCACGAGGACCUGAUGCUUGUGAUAUAGUGAUACAUAUAACACUAUAUGAAUGGUAUUCAUAGUGAGCACAUAUACGUUUCGUGUAUGUUGAAGUCUUGAGGUAGUGACUCACUGUUGAUGAUGUACAUAUCUACCAACGAAAUCCUGUCCUACAGGUAUGGUAUGUACUGGUAAGCAGGUCAUAGUAGGUAUGCAUACAAUGUACAGAAGAAAUGUAUCACCAAAGUUUCUUUAUGAUAUGUUACUGACAAAAACUACUUGCUAGAUAUCAGCAGAUGUUAAAAUAGAGGGGGAUAGAGAGUGAUAAAGGGAUAUGUUGGUCCUUGUUUAGUGUCAUUGGGGAAAAGUAAGAGGGUGCUACCUGAAACAUCUGUUUCCAAAAUCUGUACUUGUAUUUGUAACAAUUGUAUAUGUAAUUUACCAAUGACAUAUCAAGACUGUGUUCAGUUGUGUAUUGCUAAAUUAUCAAGAUUCUGUCAGCUUAUCAAAACACUUUCAUUGUUAUAGUUUCUUUUCAAAAUUUCACUGAGAAGUUUUAUAUGCAAACUGGGUCUUUAUGAAUGGUAGCAAAUGCAUUUUUAUGAUAAUGUCAGAUAGCAAGAUAUGUACAAGUUCAGAUAUAGAAGUGUAAAACCUAGAAACAUUUUGUAAAAGAAAAGAUUUUGUGAUUGAUACAGGUAUAACGUUAGCACAAAAACAAUGCUUUUAGCUUGAGUUACGUACAUGUAGUAUGUAUGUAUGCCAUAUACAAAUGAGACCACUUUCAUAUUGUGUGACUGUCCAAAACUUGCAUUUUUAGUGGAUUUACAUCUCUGAGACAUGAAGGAAGAAAGAGAAGUGUAGUAGUGUAGCAAUGCAGUUUGUUUUUGCAUUAUGUAUGUUAUUUUCUUAGUUUCAAGAAAACAAUCAAUUCUAUUUAUUUAUUGCAUUAUUUAUUGUAUUGCGGCUGUAUUUUAUUGAGAAGGUAAAAGACAAAUCAUCAAUUCAUCUGUGAUAAAAUGUAUAUAUCAUACACGAGCCUCAUUGUCUCACUGGUAUCAGCACAGAUGUGCCAUGAAGAUUUUGAGUCUACUCUUUGGGAACAUGCAGGUGCAUGCUAAUGUUGUUUCUGAUAAUGCCCCACGACCCCAUCCCUCCAUGAAAUAUUUAAAGUUUUUGUAGAUUUUAUGCAAAUGCAUUUACAUAAUUUAUGCAUGAUGAAGUUUAUAAUUGAUAGGCUUAAACAUGUCACAAGUAAAACAUUUACAAUGAAUCCCUUUUUUUGCCAUGUUUGCAAUAAUCAUACAAAACAUG
Branchiostoma floridae (Florida lancelet) is the source of this 2881-nucleotide long non-coding RNA. RefSeq lists it as uncharacterized. The record is from RefSeq and is a predicted model, not a curated record. The transcript is spliced from 3 exons. NCBI's taxonomy places the organism in Eukaryota, Metazoa, Chordata, Leptocardii, Amphioxiformes, Branchiostomatidae.